GCAUUAUAUGAUGCUGGGACAGAGGGAGACCUGGAGGGGAGCCAGAGAGGACAUUUUUUGUUUAUAGAACAAGUGGACUACUGCAGAGCACAACCUGGCCCCAUAAACUCACAUCCUUGUGCGUUCUGUUGGGGUGCAGCUGUGCUAUGUUCUACAACAUGCACAAAGUUCACAUAGAAUCAAGAAGAAAGAUCCGAGACCGGGUUUAAACUCCUCAACAGCACGGUGCCUGCCUGUCUACAAAGUAUCCUUGGAAAUUCCAGUAGACAGCUAGUCCUUAAGGUGGUGAUGGAGGAACACUUGAAAGAAGAUGAACACAUGGACACGCCUACACUGAAACAUGGCCUCAAAGGACUCCGUCUUCGUCCUCCUCUUACUAUGUGUGCCUCACAAGCCUGCCACCCCCAGCUCGAAGACAUCGAUCUCUGCUUCUGUCAGCUUUUGAAUGGCAUCACACCUACCCAGACGGCUCAUCUCAGACUCCAGCGUCCAUUUCCUUCCCCUCUUGAUCAUCAACAGACUCGCGUUGUCCUCCCUCUCUGCCACAUACUGAGCGGCAAGGUCACCUUGUUGAAUGACCAACAGUCCUUGGGUUUACAAACAACGCCAUGCUUGAUCACAAUCUCUCUUAGUUUUUAAGUCCCCCAGAGAAACAUUUUUAGUCUUAUUAAGAUUUCCUGUAAUUUGACCUCAUCAUAUCAGACUGAACCAUUUCUCUGUGCAACCGGCUAUGCAACCGGCUCCAUCCUGUUUUUCUGUUAUCUCCUCCCAAAUUUACUGUAUGGUUUAUAUUUAUAGUCAUUGACUUGCAGCUACUCCCAUCCCUACCGGCCUGCUCUCCUUCAUUUGCAUUACUUAGCAAUUCUAACAGUCUUCUUUCAUGUGGUCAAGCACUGCGGGAAUAAAUUUUACAGUGGGGUCGUUCUAUGUUCACAAUUGUGAAUACCAAACAAG
Molecule: long non-coding RNA, 954 nt
Filed under: Chinchilla lanigera (long-tailed chinchilla)
Lineage: Eukaryota; Metazoa; Chordata; Mammalia; Rodentia; Chinchillidae
Description: lncRNA (ENSCLAG00000023947.1)
Source: RNAcentral